Molecule: ribosomal RNA, 896 nt
Filed under: uncultured bacterium
Lineage: Bacteria
Description: bacterial SSU rRNA
Rfam family: Bacterial small subunit ribosomal RNA
Source: RNAcentral
GAGUUUGAUCCUGGCUCAGGAUGAACGCUGGCGGCGUGCUUAACACAUGCAAGUCGAACGGACUCAUAUUGAAACCUAGUGAUGUAUGAGUUAGUGGCGGACGGGUGAGUAACGCGUGGAGAACCUGCCGUAUACUGGGGGAUAACACUUAGAAAUAGGUGCUAAUACCGCAUAAGCGCACAGCUUCGCAUGAAGCAGUGUGAAAAACUCCGGUGGUAUACGAUGGAUCCGCGUCUGAUUAGCUGGUUGGCGGGGUAAAGGCCACCAAGGCGACGAUCAGUAGCCGGCCUGAGAGGGUGAACGGCCACAUUGGGACUGAGACACGGCCCAAACUCCUACGGGAGGCAGCAGUGGGGAAUAUUGCACAAUGGGGGGAACCCUGAUGCAGCGACGCCGCGUGAGUGAAGAAGUAUUUCGGUACGUAAAGCUCUAUCAGCAGGGAAGAAAAUGACGGUACCUGACUAAGAAGCCCCGGCUAACUACGUGCCAGCAGCCGCGGUAAUACGUAGGGGGCAAGCGUUAUCCGGAUUUACUGGGUGUAAAGGGAGCGUAGACGGCAGCGCAAGUCUGGAGUGAAAUCCCAUGGCUUAACCAUGGAACUGCUUUGGAAACUGUGCAGCUAGAGUGCAGGAGAGGUAAGCGGAAUUCCUAGUGUAGCGGUGAAAUGCGUAGAUAUUAGGAGGAACACCAGUGGCGAAGGCGGCUUACUGGACUGUAACUGACGUUGAGGCUCGAAAGCGUGGGGAGCAAACAGGAUUAGAUACCCUGGUAGUCCACGCUGUAAACGAUGAUUACUAGGUGUUGGGGGACCAAGGUCCUUCGGUGCCGGCGCAAACGCAUUAAGUAAUCCACCUGGGGAGUACGUUCGCAAGAAUGAAACUCAAAGGAAUUGACGG